RNAcentral lists this ribosomal RNA (347 nucleotides) under uncultured bacterium. Its description in RNAcentral is "bacterial SSU rRNA". It matches the Rfam family "Bacterial small subunit ribosomal RNA", at positions 8 to 334 of the family's 1533-position model. The record is from RNAcentral.
AGAGUUCGAUUAUGGCUCAGGACGAACGCUGGCGGCGUGCUUAACACAUGCAAGUCGAGCGGGGAUUGCGAAGCGGAAGGUUUCGGCCGGAAGGUUUGCAAUUCAAGCGGCGGACGGGUGAGUAACGCGUGAGCAAUCUGUCCCAGACAGGGGGAUAACAGAUGGAAACAUCUGCUAAUACCGCAUAAGACCACGGGAUCGCAUGAUCGUGAGGUAAAAGGAGGAAUCCGGUUCGGGGUGAGCUCGCGUCCGAUUAGGUAGUUGGUGAGGUAAAGGCUCACCAAGCCGACGAUCGGUAGCCGGCCUGAGAGGGUGAACGGCCACAUUGGAACUGAGAGACGGUCCAA